UGUCCGAUGGUGUAACUGGCAACACAAAUGAUUCUGGAUCAUUAGAGUCUAGGUUCGACCCCUAGUCGGACAA
Molecule: transfer RNA, 73 nt
Filed under: bacterium
Lineage: Bacteria
Also listed under: 2 other names
Description: tRNA-Gln
Rfam family: tRNA
About the family: Transfer RNA (tRNA) molecules are approximately 80 nucleotides in length. Their secondary structure includes four short double-helical elements and three loops (D, anti-codon, and T loops). Further hydrogen bonds mediate the characteristic L-shaped molecular structure. tRNAs have two regions of fundamental functional importance: the anti-codon, which is responsible for specific mRNA codon recognition, and the 3' end, to which the tRNAs corresponding amino acid is attached (by aminoacyl-tRNA synthetases). tRNAs cope with the degeneracy of the genetic code in two manners: having more than one tRNA (with a specific anti-codon) for a particular amino acid; and 'wobble' base-pairing, i.e. permitting non-standard base-pairing at the 3rd anti-codon position.
Source: RNAcentral